AAUGAUGUGACAACAUUCAUGUGGACAAAUUUAAUAUCCAUGUCAUUAUUAUAUAUUUUUAAUGGGGGCUAUGGAUUGUUUGGUGUGAUUUUUGAUGUUUUUGAAUUAUUUUUUGAUUGAUUUCUUUUUAAAAAAUACCAUAAUUUUAAUAAUUAAAAUAUUUUAUAAAAUAAGUUUUAUUGAAUUAAAAAUAAAUAAUGACAUGGAUAUUAAAUUUAUCCACGUGGACGCUGAUAUGUAUUAAUGACAAUGCCACAUCAACAAAAUUAGCCCUAAAAUGGGAUGGAGG
This 289-nucleotide long non-coding RNA is filed under the name Trifolium pratense (red clover). RNAcentral describes it as "long non-coding RNA (TPRA_LNC006865)". The record is from RNAcentral. Lineage: Eukaryota; Viridiplantae; Streptophyta; Magnoliopsida; Fabales; Fabaceae.